RNAcentral lists this ribosomal RNA (1724 nucleotides) under Shigella sonnei. Its description in RNAcentral is "partial 23S ribosomal RNA". It matches the Rfam family "Bacterial large subunit ribosomal RNA", at positions 1213 to 2915 of the family's 2925-position model. Lineage: Bacteria; Pseudomonadati; Pseudomonadota; Gammaproteobacteria; Enterobacterales; Enterobacteriaceae. The record is from RNAcentral.
CUUAUGCGUUGUUGGGUAGGGGAGCGUUCUGUAAGCCUGCGAAGGUGUGCUGUGAGGCAUGCUGGAGGUAUCAGAAGUGCGAAUGCUGACAUAAGUAACGAUAAAGCGGGUGAAAAGCCCGCUCGCCGGAAGACCAAGGGUUCCUGUCCAACGUUAAUCGGGGCAGGGUGAGUCGACCCCUAAGGCGAGGCCGAAAGGCGUAGUCGAUGGGAAACAGGUUAAUAUUCCUGUACUUGGUGUUACUGCGAAGGGGGGACGGAGAAGGCUAUGUUGGCCGGGCGACGGUUGUCCCGGUUUAAGCGUGUAGGCUGGUUUUCCAGGCAAAUCCGGAAAAUCAAGGCUGAGGCGUGAUGACGAGGCACUACGGUGCUGAAGCAACAAAUGCCCUGCUUCCAGGAAAAGCCUCUAAGCAUCAGGUAACAUCAAAUCGUACCCCAAACCGACACAGGUGGUCAGGUAGAGAAUACCAAGGCGCUUGAGAGAACUCGGGUGAAGGAACUAGGCAAAAUGGUGCCGUAACUUCGGGAGAAGGCACGCUGAUAUGUAGGUGAAGUCCCUUGCGGAUGGAGCUGAAAUCAGUCGAAGAUACCAGCUGGCUGCAACUGUUUAUUAAAAACACAGCACUGUGCAAACACGAAAGUGGACGUAUACGGUGUGACGCCUGCCCGGUGCCGGAAGGUUAAUUGAUGGGGUCAGCGCAAGCGAAGCUCUUGAUCGAAGCCCCGGUAAACGGCGGCCGUAACUAUAACGGUCCUAAGGUAGCGAAAUUCCUUGUCGGGUAAGUUCCGACCUGCACGAAUGGCGUAAUGAUGGCCAGGCUGUCUCCACCCGAGACUCAGUGAAAUUGAACUCGCUGUGAAGAUGCAGUGUACCCGCGGCAAGACGGAAAGACCCCGUGAACCUUUACUAUAGCUUGACACUGAACAUUGAGCCUUGAUGUGUAGGAUAGGUGGGAGGCUUUGAAGUGUGGACGCCAGUCUGCAUGGAGCCGGCCUUGAAAUACCACCCUUUAAUGUUUGAUGUUCUAACGUGGACCCGUGAUCCGGGUUGCGGACAGUGUCUGGUGGGUAGUUUGACUGGGGCGGUCUCCUCCUAAAGAGUAACGGAGGAGCACGAAGGUUGGCUAAUCCUGGUCGGACAUCAGGAGGUUAGUGCAAUGGCAUAAGCCAGCUUGACUGCGAGCGUGACGGCGCGAGCAGGUGCGAAAGCAGGUCAUAGUGAUCCGGUGGUUCUGAAUGGAAGGGCCAUCGCUCAACGGAUAAAAGGUACUCCGGGGAUAACAGGCUGAUACCGCCCAAGAGUUCAUAUCGACGGCGGUGUUUGGCACCUCGAUGUCGGCUCAUCACAUCCUGGGGCUGAAGUAGGUCCCAAGGGUAUGGCUGUUCGCCAUUUAAAGUGGUACGCGAGCUGGGUUUAGAACGUCGUGAGACAGUUCGGUCCCUAUCUGCCGUGGGCGCUGGAGAACUGAGGGGGGCUGCUCCUAGUACGAGAGGACCGGAGUGGACGCAUCACUGGUGUUCGGGUUGUCAUGCCAAUGGCACUGCCCGGUAGCUAAAUGCGGAAGAGAUAAGUGCUGAAAGCAUCUAAGCACGAAACUUGCCCCGAGAUGAGUUCUCCCUGACCCUUUAAGGGUCCUGAAGGAACGUUGAAGACGACGACGUUGAUAGGCCGGGUGUGUAAGCGCAGCGAUGCGUUGAGCUAACCGGUACUAAUGAACCGUGAGG